Molecule: unclassified non-coding RNA, 244 nt
Filed under: Hevea brasiliensis (rubber tree)
Lineage: Eukaryota; Viridiplantae; Streptophyta; Magnoliopsida; Malpighiales; Euphorbiaceae
Source: RNAcentral
UGCUUUAAUUUGUUUUGCCAGCAUUGGCUUCACUUGCCAAGUAGCUACCAUCUGCCCAUCUUCAUUAAUCUCCAAAUUAGCAUGCAAUGCCCUUAACUCAUGCACCAUGGACAAUGGAGAAAACCUUAAACCAGCCAUAGUCUUGCGACUUAAAGCAUCAGCUACAACAUUUGCCUUUCCAGGCUGAUAGUCUAUCAAGCAAUCAUAAUCUUUUAUCAGCUCUAACCAUCUCCUCUGCCUCAAA